This 71-nucleotide transfer RNA is filed under the name Temnopleurus reevesii. RNAcentral's name for it is "tRNA-Thr". It matches the Rfam family "tRNA". From Rfam's summary of the family: Transfer RNA (tRNA) molecules are approximately 80 nucleotides in length. Their secondary structure includes four short double-helical elements and three loops (D, anti-codon, and T loops). Lineage: Eukaryota; Metazoa; Echinodermata; Echinoidea; Temnopleuroida; Temnopleuridae. The record is from RNAcentral.
GCCUUGAAAGCUUAAAGUUAAGCGCCCGGUCUUGUAAAUCGGGAGAGAGGGUUAAAGUCCCUCUCAAGGCU